This 7266-nucleotide long non-coding RNA is filed under the name Brassica napus (rape). Its description in RNAcentral is "long non-coding RNA (BNAP_LNC007658)". The record is from RNAcentral. Lineage: Eukaryota; Viridiplantae; Streptophyta; Magnoliopsida; Brassicales; Brassicaceae.
AUUCCAUUCCUACCAUUCCAUUUAUUUUAAAUUCCACAAAUUCCAUAUAUGUUUACCGGUUACACCCUUAGAAAAAGCAAACACUAACAGUUCCAAAUAAAUUAUUGGAUCCCAAAAUGAAACGUAAAAAGUUAUAAUGGUCUACAUAAAGUGCAUCUGGCCCAUUAUCUCCAUCGAUGGAGUGUAUAUUAUCUCUUUCAUCUGUGCAAUCAAAGAAGUUGAAUGUUGGAAACUGAUGUUUGAAGAAUCAACUCUUUCUUUCUCUGUUCUUGGUUUCUUAGUCUUCCAUUGAUUCUCAUAGUAUAUGAGCUUGAGACUUCCAUUCUCAGAAUCAUACUGAGGAUGGUGAACAAUAAGGACGUGACUUCCUGUAUUGUCUCUGUUUCUCUUCAAAGACUUGGGUUUUGUUAUUGCUCUGUCAUGAUCUCUCUGUUUUCAGUCUUCUGUCGAUAUUGUUGUUGCUGUUUGUCGUUGCUGAUAACAAACAAUUGAGCGAUGAAAGAUCGAUCGAAGUAGCUUUGUCACCAACAUGUUGAAUUUCACCAAUGACUCAAAUUCGUGCACAAAUGAGUUGGUGAGAAGAAGAGCAGAGUUCUUAGCCAUAAGCUUAUUUCAUCCCCAUAUCAAAUCUGAUCCUUGAUGCUCCAUGAUUUUGCUCUCUCGGGUCACUCCAUAGAUAUCUUGCGCGUAAACGGAUUCUAAUCCUUCCAUUGGAUCAAACAAAGCCCUGAGAAAACCAACAACGCCAAUGUGAGAAACAAAGCAAGUUUUCCAUAUAGAAAUGAUCAUUUCAUGGAACUUAUCUCCAUCUAUAUUCAUGUUCAUCUGUCCACAAAAACCAAAUUUUCAGGUUUGAAGUUUUCUUAAGAUGGUUGAACAAAAAAAAAGUCUUCUUAAGAUUAAUCAAUGUCUUGCAAACAUAUAUAUAUAACGUUUGUAGUCAUACAUUAUUUUCAGCCAAGAUAGGAGGGAGUAAUGGUAGGAGAAUCUUCAUUGGCGGACUUGAACUCCUGCGUCUUGAGGUUCAACCCUGGCUUCACCCAUACUUUGGCUUCAUAAAGUGUCUUCUUCCCAACCCCCAAUGAUCUCCAGGGUGAGAUGAUGCAUCGUUUUUUCUACAACUUUUUCUUUCUCGUUCACCACCGCACAAACUUGACCACUGCAUUAUACGAUUUUGAAAAACCAAGAGCCCAAAACAUUACUCAAUGAUAAAAUCACUUCCAAGCCUGGCCAAAGAGAUCUAUAUAAACGUACUCAUCAUCCACCAUAAAUCAAUUCCCAAGAUCUACACUUAUCACACUGAAACACUAAACAUGCGAAGGUAUAACAGUAACUGAAAGCAAGAUGAAUAAUUAGAAAUAACACUAAAUCCCGUUAUAGAUUAAACGGAUAUCAAAGCAGAAACAUGAAUCGAUAACAAAAGCUAUCAUAACAAAUUUUGGUUUUAGUGUAAGAAAAGAAAAAAAUAAAACUUAAAACUAAAAGCUUAAAACAACUCUUCCAGAAACAAUGACCAUGUGCAUAAACUGAAAUAAGUUAAAUCUCUCAGAAACCUAAGAGGAAAAACUGGUGAAUUUUACGGAAGGAAACUCACAUAUUUAUAGGUUGGAUUCACACGAUGCAUUGAUGAGGGCAUGCAUUUAAUCAGACAUCGUGGGAAGAGUGGAGGAUUGGUGUUAAUCUGAGCCUUAAUGGUGAUGCUUGAAUGUGGUCGACUUAUGUAACGGUGCUGGAUUUCGUUGCCAGUGAAACGACUCCAAUCGAUUAGCCACAUGAUUUUGUUUACCGGUUAAAAGAGUUCAAACCGAUUAGUCACACACGGCGUCCUCCAACUGAGUCUGGCCUGAGUUAGGGGCUGUUUGUUUCACCAUUUGUCAUCUCCAUCCAAAUGAUUCAUUUGUAUGAUCCAUUCAGAUUUUUCUGAUUGUUUGUUAAUCCAUCCAGAUAAUUCAUCUAGAUGAAUCAUCUAAAUGAAUCUUAUGUUUGUUUCUUUGUUUUCAUUUCCAUUCAAAUGAGUUUAGUAAACAAAUUACCAAAAUACCCUUGUAUUGUUUUAAUCAUAUGUUUGAUAUUAAUUUUAACUAUAUUACAUUUAAUUAUUUAGUUUAAUAUAUUUACAUUAAAAUUAUUUCAAAAUUAACGAGUUUUUUUUUUGCGGUUUGGACGAAAAAAAAAAGUUUUUUUGGUUUUAGCGAGAAAACACAUUUUUCGGUUUUGGCGGGAAAACAAGAUUUUUGGUUCUGGCGGGAAAACGAGAAACUUGGUUUUGGCGGGAAAAUACAAAUUUUUGGUUUUGGCGAGAAAACAUGUUUUUGCGGUUUUGGCGGAAAGAGACGUUUUUGGCGGGAAAACGCGCUUUUUGCGGUUUUGGAGGAAACACGUUUUUGCGAUUUUCACGGAAAAAUGAAUUUUUUUGGUUUUGGCGAGAAAACGAGAUCUUUCGUUAUUGGCGGGAAAACGCGUUUUUGCGGCUUUGGCGGGAAAACACGUUUUUUCGGUUUUGGCGGAACAACGCAUUAUUACGGUUUUGGUGGAUAACGCACUUUUUGCGGUUUUGGAGGAAACACGUUUUUGCGAUUUUCACGGAAAAACAAAUUUUUUCGGUUUUGGCGAGAAAACGAGAUCUUUCGUUAUUGGCGGGAAAACGCGUUUUUGCGGCUUUGGCGGGAAAACAUGUUUUUGCGGUUUUGGCGGAAAACCGCAUUUUUACAGUUUUGGCGGAAAAACGCAUUUUUGCGGUUUUGGCGGAAAAAAACACGUUUUUGCAGUUUUGGCGGGAAAUGCGUUUUGUAAUUUUGGUGGGAAAACACUCUUUUACAGUUUUGGCACGAAAACACGUUUUUGGCGGGAAAACGUGUUUUUGCGGUUUUGGCGGAGAAACACGUUUUUGGCGGGAAACGCGUUUUUGUGUUUUUUUUUGCGGUUUUCGCGGGAAAACAAGAUUUUUCGGCUUUGUCGGGAAAACGAGAUUUUUCGGUUUUGGCGGGAAAACGAGAUUUUUGAUUUUAGCCGGGAAACACGUUUUUUUGGUUUGGCGGGAAAAUACGUUUUUGCAAUUUUGGCGGGAAAACGUGUUUUUGUGUUUUAGCGGAAAAAUGUGUUUUGGGGUGUUGACGUGAAAACAUGUUUUUUGUGAUUUUUGGCAUGAAAACACGUUUUCUGUUUUUGCGAAAAAACACAUUUUUGCAAUUUUGACAGGAAAAUGCGUUUUUGGGGUUUUGGCGUAAAAAAAUAGUUUUAGGUUUUCGUGGAAAAACAUGUUUUUGUAGUUUUGUUAAUUUUCGUAUGAGACAAAAAUGAUAUUAUGUUUAGGUUUGUAAUUUGUGAAUUAUGUUAUGGACAUAAUAGAUAUUAUAUCAUUUUGAAUGAACUAUUUCCAUUCAAAUGAUCCAAAUUGGUUCAAAACUUUAAAAUUAAUCUUAAAUUUCUAAAUGUCAUUCGAAUGAUCCAUUUGAAUGAGUUGCACUUUUAGUGUCUAAACAAACAAAACUUUCAUUUUCACCCAAAUAAUUCAUCCAGACGAAGAAACAAACGGGUCCUUAGUGGUUCUCCAUGAUACAGUCGGAUGCGUGGAAGAACAUGAGAUGUUAUGCGGCGGCAACGGAGUUUUGGAGAAGAGAGACGUACAUGUGGGUUUCAUACUUUCAUUUAAUCAAUACACAAAGCCUUAUUUACUAAAGCCAAUUUGAAUAAGAUUACCAAAAGUCCAAUAAUGAUCCAUCAAAGAACUGAACGGAAAAGAAAUACCUUUACAAAUGACCGAAGCCCAUUAUUUAAAGGUUAAAUGAAACGCAUAGUAUAAGAAACUAGACACGUGUCGCCCUCUGGUGCAUAGAUUUUCUGAUCUGAAAUCCUAGGUGGCAGCACACUAGAAAUGAAGAAACCGUACGUCAUAUAUAUAGAAGAUUCCACCCGUCCACAAUAAAAUUCCUUUCACAUAGACGAAAAACAUCCAUAAUAAUCGACCGUCGAUUUUGCAUUGUAUCAUUAGGAAGGAAGUUUUUUUUUUUUUUUUUGGUAAAAAUGUUAAGUUUAUUACCAUUUUCAUUUUAGACAGAUUUUACAAAGAUCACAAGAAGCAUUAGGCAACUUUGCUUCCUCUCCCUUCAGUCAAGGCAAUGCUAUGUAUUCUAUGUUGUGCGUGGUUGGGGUCUCCUUCGUUUUUUCAAUACAUGAGAAAAACGUAACCUAUGAUUUUACCCUUAGCCCGACUGAAACACAUAUUCAGUCCACGUAAUUUAACUUCACAAACAUGGAACUUCAUACGAAUUCAGUCCACAAACGUAUUUAAUAUUGCGUUUCAGCAAGCCCUUUCUCAAAAAAUUAUUAUUAUGUUUCAUUAAACUUAUCUUUCAAAACAUUUUUUUUCUAAAAAAUAGAUCCUUUUAAAGCGGAUGGGGUAUAUUUUAUUGUGAUUCAUUAAUAUUUUAUUUAAAAAUCAAUUUAACAAAUUAAUAAUUUGUCAAAUUCUUUUACUGUUGAAACUUAACUGGAUUUAAAAGGACAUUAGGGAAUUCGAAUAAUAGUUAUACUGAACUGAUAAUCCUGAAUUUGGAUCUUAAUAUAUUGAAAUUCUAUGAUAUCUAACCAACUUCUAUAAAAAAUAUGCAAACAUUAUUUUGGUUUAAAAUAAAACAAAAAACAAAAUAUUUAAUACAAUCGAUAAUGCUCUCCAGGAUACGCUCCUGGCUUUGCUCCGACGGAUUGAUUGCAGAAUUUCACGUGAGCUUGUUUCAUCAAUCGGUAGGGACUCAGUUCCAAAAUACUUUCUCUUAAAAGUAUAGAUCUGGAUCAAAUUAAUAUAGCCUUGAAACUUCUAGUAAUAAAAUCCAGUUGACUAAAGUUAAAUAUUAUUUCAUAUGUUUCAUAGCUCUUCGAUGCUCAGUUUAAAAGAUAAGGGAAUAAUAAGGAUUAGAAAAACAGAAGAACAAGUGGGGAUUUUCAAUUUGUUUUAGAGUUUCAAUGAAAAACUAAUAAUAUUUUUUAAUUUAUUUUUCUAUUUGGUUGAAAUGUAGUUAGGUGUAUGGGUAAUAAUGUUUUUCUAAUCAUUAUAGUAUUUGAUAUUAUUUUCUUAAUCUUUUAAACUGAGCAUUGAAAAGCAAUGGAAAAAAUUCCAAAUAGUUAGCACAUACAAAAAUAGAUAAUUCGUAUAUUAAAAAAAACAUAAUUUUAUGUAGAGGUUUGGAUUCCGCCCUUGUAUGUUUCUCAGUUUUAUAAAUCAAAUUCAGAUGGAAAAAUAAUGUAGAGCCGGUAUAACCUUUUAUUAGUAUAUCUUCAUCACAAAUGGAGUAUACUGUUACGUACAUAAAAACAAAAUAUAAGCCCAAAGACCGAACAGCCGAACACCAAAGUAGCCAUAAAUCUUGGAGGAAAACGUGAUGAGUUCACGAUCAUAUUUAUUUUUCAGGCAUAUUUCUACAUUAUCUAUAAAAAGCAAAGAGAAUCAUGCCAACAACAAUUAUGAUUAGUCGACUUUGUAAAUGUGAUGAUACAUAUUCAAGUUAUCCAAUUUAAACAUCUUUAACAAUUAUGGCUAUAAUUAUGUUGUAUCUAUAACGAGAGUCGGAGACGUUAGACCAAAGUAUCCAAAGAUAGGUUUAACUUGAAAAUAACAAUUAUUGAUAGGGGUUCCACCAAUAUCAUUCGAGUCUAUCAUGUUUCCCAUACUUUUGCAGGUAACACGAACAUGUAACGUGACAAAAUUUUGUUUUCCUCAACGGUAACAAUUUAAUUUACCUAUUCUAUUCGUGAAUCGAUUAGACGUUUGAAACUAAAUUAUAUUGGACAUAGAAAAAAAAAACAAAAACAAUACAGACAACCGGCAAAAAAAAGAGUCCAGCGUAAUUUGUUUAGCUGUUUAGAGAAAAACUGUUAUCAUCAAUUAUGAUAGAUUCAAAUUUGAAUAUAGUAUAGCUUGCUGGGGAAUGAAGGACUUUUGUAUUACAUAGUUCUCAAAUGUGUUAUGAGCAUCAGUAGUUAAUUGUAGAUGAGCUGUGUAGGAUGUUUAGGGGAAACGAAAAAGAGUGUAGCUUAAGAGGGUAGCUUUAGACUGAAUUUUUGUGUGUAUAUAUUGCAUCUAAUGGAAAAAAAUUAGAAUUAAUUAUAAACUGUUCUAUAGAAAAACGUAUGAAUUAAGAAUUAGUCAGUGUCAACUUCUUUAUAACAUCAAAGAGCUUUGAUUUCUCUAGAUGGUAAUAAAUUAGUAACAAAUAUAGUGGCAAACUAACAAAAAAUGAACAAAUACUCUUUUGGUUAAAAAAGGAUCCAUGUUUUAAAACAAAAUUUGCUUCAAAAAAAUAUAUUUUACAUUUUAAUUCAAUUUUUAUUAAAUAAUAAUGACAAUUUGUAAGCUCUUUAAAAAUAAUUAUAUUUAUUAAAUUGUGAUUGGCUAAAAGUUGUAGAAAAUAGUUAAUCAUAAAAAAAAAUUAUAAUUAAAACUGCAAGAUGAUUUUGUGUCAAAAAUCUAAAAGAUAUUCUCUUAAUGAGUAUGAUAUAACUAAAAUUGCAGUAGUAUAAUUGAUUUCGAUAGAAUUUCAUUUAUUAAUUAGAAAACUGAAUUAUUUCACGACACUGAGACUUGUCCUAUAAAUACAACAUUUCCUCCUCUUAACUUGUAUCACAAAGCUAAAUACGAAAGAAACAUGGGGUUCUUGGGUAAGAGUAUAUUGUCGAGUCUCCUUGCAAUAUGGUUCUUCACUUCCUGUGCUUUCACUGAAGAAGUGAACCAUGUGAACCAAACGCCUUCCUCUGCUCCUGCUCCAUCUCCUUACCACCACGGCCACCACCACCCACAUCCUCCCCAUCACCACCACCCUCACCCUCACCCACCGGCAAAAGCCCCUGUCAAGCCGCCGGUUUCUCCACCUUCUAAACCUCCGGUUAAGCCUCCAGUUUACCCCCCAACCAAAUCCCCGGUUAAGCCCCCAACUAAACCUCCGGUUAAGCCACCAGUUUCCCCACCAGCAAAACCUCCUGUUAAACCUCCGGUUUACCCUCCGACCAAAGCUCCAGUUAAGCCCCCAGUCAAACCUCCGGUUAAGCCACCAGUUUCACCACCGGCCAAACCUCCAAUAAAGCCACCAGUUUCACCACCGGCCAAACCUCCGGUUAAGCCCCCGGUUUACCCUCCGACCAAAGCCCCUGUUAAGCCCCCGACCAAAGCCCCGGCUAAGCCUCCGGUCUCUCCUCCAGCCAAACCACCAGUAUCCCCUCCAGCUAAGCCACCGGUGAAGCCACCGGUUUACCCGCCAAAAUUCAACAGAAGCC